GAUGAACGCUAGCGGCAGGCUUAAUACAUGCAAGUCGAGGGGCAGCACGGUUAGCAAUAACUGGUGGCGACCGGCGCACGGGUGCGUAACACGUAUACAAUCUACCUUAAACAGGGGGAUAGCCUUUCGAAAGAGAGAUUAAUACCCCGUAAUAAAUUGAACGGCAUCGUUUGAUUUUGAAAGCUCCGGCGGUUUGAGAUGAGUAUGCGUCUGAUUAGCUAGUUGGUGAGGUAACGGCUCACCAAGGCGACGAUCAGUAGGGGAUCUGAGAGGACUAACCCCCCACACUGGUACUGAGACACGGACCAGACUCCUACGGGA
RNAcentral lists this ribosomal RNA (321 nucleotides) under uncultured bacterium. RNAcentral's name for it is "bacterial SSU rRNA". It matches the Rfam family "Bacterial small subunit ribosomal RNA", at positions 28 to 346 of the family's 1533-position model. The record is from RNAcentral.